This 497-nucleotide ribosomal RNA is filed under the name uncultured bacterium. Its description in RNAcentral is "partial 16S ribosomal RNA". It matches the Rfam family "Bacterial small subunit ribosomal RNA", at positions 28 to 507 of the family's 1533-position model. The record is from RNAcentral.
GAUGAACGCUGGCGGCGUGCCUAAUACAUGCAAGUCGAGCGAACAGACAAGGAGCUUGCUCCUUUGACGUUAGCGGCGGACGGGUGAGUAACACGUGGAUAACCUACCUAUAAGACUGGGAUAACUUCGGGAAACCGGAGCUAAUACCGGAUAAUAUAUUGAACCGCAUGGUUCAAUAGUGAAAGACGGCUUUGCUGUCACUUAUAGAUGGAUCCGCGCCGUAUUAGCUAGUUGGUAAGGUAACGGCUUACCAAGGCAACGAUACGUAGCCGACCUGAGAGGGUGAUCGGCCACACUGGAACUGAGACACGGUCCAGACUCCUACGGGAGGCAGCAGUAGGGAAUCUUCCGCAAUGGGCGAAAGCCUGACGGAGCAACGCCGCGUGAGUGAUGAAGGUCUUCGGAUCGUAAAACUCUGUUAUCAGGGAAGAACAAAUGUGUAAGUAACUGUGCACAUCUUGACGGUACCUUAUCAGAAAGCCACGGCUAACUACGUG